CCUACGGGAGGCAGCAGUGGGGAAUAUUGCACAAUGGGGGAAACCCUGAUGCAGCAACGCCGCGUGAGUGAGGAAGUAUUUCGGUAUGUAAAGCUCUAUCAGCAGGGAAUAGAAAAGAAGGUACCUUAAAAAGAAGCCCCGGCUAACUACGUGCCAGCAGCCGCGGUAAUACGUAGGGGGCAAGCGUUAUCCGGAUUUACUGGGGGUAAAGGGAGCGUAGACGGAAAGGCAAGUCAGAAGUGAAAGCCCAAGGCUCAACCAUGGGACUGCUUUUGAAACUGUCAAACUAGAGUACGGGAGAGGUAAGAGGAAUUCCUAGUGUAGCGGUGAAAUGCGUAGAUAUUAGGAGGAACACCAGUGGCGAAGGCGGCUUACUGGACCGAAACUGACGUUGAGGCUCGAAAGCGUGGGGAGCAAACAGGAUUAGAUACCCUUGUAGUC
This 441-nucleotide ribosomal RNA is filed under the name uncultured bacterium. Its description in RNAcentral is "partial 16S ribosomal RNA". It matches the Rfam family "Bacterial small subunit ribosomal RNA", at positions 338 to 795 of the family's 1533-position model. The record is from RNAcentral.